RNAcentral lists this ribosomal RNA (497 nucleotides) under uncultured bacterium. RNAcentral's name for it is "partial 16S ribosomal RNA". It matches the Rfam family "Bacterial small subunit ribosomal RNA", at positions 28 to 507 of the family's 1533-position model. The record is from RNAcentral.
GAUGAACGCUGGCGGCGUGCCUAAUACAUGCAAGUCGAGCGAACAGAUGAGGAGCUUGCUCCUCUGAUGUUAGCGGCGGACGGGUGAGUAACACGUGGAUAACCUACCUAUAAGACUGGGAUAACUUCGGGAAACCGGAGCUAAUACCGGAUAAUAUAUUGAACCGCAUGGUUCAAUAGUGAAAGACGGUUUUGCUGUCACUUAUAGAUGGAUCCGCGCCGCAUUAGCUAGUUGGUUAGGUAACGGCUUACCAAGGCAACGAUGCUUAGCCGACCUGAGAGGGUGAUCGGCCAGACUGGAACUGAGACACGGUCCAGACUCCGACGGGAGGCAGCAGUAGGGAAUCUUCCGCAAUGGGCGAAAGCCUGACGGAACAACGCCGCGUAAGUGAUGAAGGUCUUCGGAUCGUAAAACUCUGUUAUUAGGGAAGUACAAAUGUGUAAGUAACUAUGCACGUCUUGACGGUACCAGAUCAGAAAGCCACGGCUAACUACGUG